Molecule: ribosomal RNA, 76 nt
Filed under: Trichoderma spirale
Lineage: Eukaryota; Fungi; Ascomycota; Sordariomycetes; Hypocreales; Hypocreaceae
Description: partial large subunit ribosomal RNA
Source: RNAcentral
GGAAAAAGGUUUCGGGAACGUGGCUCCUCCGGGAGUGUUAUAGCCCGUUGCAUAAUACCCUGCGGUGGACUGAGGA